GGACUUUAAUUCAUUUGGGGUUUUGGUCACCAAUUUAUUGCUGUAGCCAUGUUUUUGUGCCGCAGCUUUGAUGCGACGUGUCUCAUCUUUGAGGUCAUGUUUGGGGCUGCAAUGAAUAGUUGCUCUUCUGACAGGGGACCUGGGAGCAGCCUUUUUGUGGUCCAUUUGUCGCCUGACCAUCCGGGGAUUGUGACUGUUUCGGUGGUGGGUUUCCUAUGUACUUUGGUGUUAAAGGUGGUUCCAUCCUGUAUUGGGUCGGCGUGUGGGAGGUGUAUACAGGUGUGGCUGCUCUGUUCUAAGUUGAGCUUU
This 309-nucleotide long non-coding RNA is filed under the name Androctonus crassicauda. Lineage: Eukaryota; Metazoa; Arthropoda; Arachnida; Scorpiones; Buthidae. The record is from RNAcentral.